CUACGGGACGCUGCAGUGAGGAAUAUUGCACAAUGGGGGAAACCCUGAUGCAGCAACGCCGCGUGGAGGAUGACGCAUUUCGGUGUGUAAACUCCUUUUAUAUGUCAAGAAAAUGACGGUAGCAUAUGAAUAAGCACCGGCUAACUCCGUGCCAGCAGCCGCGGUAAUACGGAGGGUGCAAGCGUUAUUCGGAAUCACUGGGCGUAAAGGACGCGUAGGCGGGUUUUUAAGUCAGGUGUGAAAUCCUACAGCUUAACUGUAGAACUGCACUUGAAACUACUGACCUAGAGUAUGGGAGGGGGAGAUGGAAUUAGUGGUGUAGGGGUAAAAUCCGUAGAUAUCACUAGGAAUACCUAAAGCGAAGGCGAUCUCCUGGAACAUUACUGACGCUAAGGCGUGAAAGCGUGGGGAGCAAACAGGAUUAGAUACCCGCGUAGUC
Molecule: ribosomal RNA, 439 nt
Filed under: uncultured bacterium
Lineage: Bacteria
Description: partial 16S ribosomal RNA
Rfam family: Bacterial small subunit ribosomal RNA
Source: RNAcentral